UUCUCGCCGGAUCUUCUCAGUGGGUCGC
Molecule: small RNA, 28 nt
Filed under: Bombyx mori (domestic silkworm)
Lineage: Eukaryota; Metazoa; Arthropoda; Insecta; Lepidoptera; Bombycidae
Description: piRNA piR-bmo-1328100
Source: RNAcentral